Molecule: long non-coding RNA, 4406 nt
Organism: Herpailurus yagouaroundi (jaguarundi)
Lineage: Eukaryota; Metazoa; Chordata; Mammalia; Carnivora; Felidae
Exons: 4
Source: RefSeq, a predicted model, not a curated record
UCUUCGCCCUGGGACCCUCCUUGCUUUUUGAGGCUCUAAGGACAGUGCCGAGAGCUGGGGAGGGAAGGAAGUAGCAAGGGUGAAGUGGGGGUGGCAGAGAGGCGGACACUGGCCACUUGCGGGAGACUGGAUGUCCGGGAGACGUGAGUGGCCCCCUGGGUGGUGUGUGCAGUGGGGUCCCAGCCCCCCCUCUGUUGUUGACCAACGGCCCCCACGGGCCCCUCCAUCCAACCCUUGCCUCCUAGGUUCUCCUAGUUCCGUCCCCGCUGUCUUCUCACAGCUGUGCGCGUAGUCCCCACACUCCUCUAAGGACUGCUGGUACCCUAUGCAGCUAUCGCGUCAAAGCGGGCACCGUGCUCUACAGUUGGCACCCCCUGUGGCCUCCGGAGCUCGGAGAAGGAGGAGCUGCCGUAGAAAUAGGAGAAGCAGCUCGCCAAGCUUGGGGUCAGAAAGGGAACUCACAUUUAUAGUUCCGGCCGCGAGCCAGGCGCUGUUAGACACUCCAUAGGCAUUGUUUUAUUUAAUCCUCACAGCAAGCCCAAAUUGGAAUUACUGUCUUCUUUAAGGAUGAGGUCACGGGAGCAGGGAGGUAAAGUCGGUGCUUUAGCCAGUCCAUGGCCGGGUCGGGAUUCACACAAAGUCUGUAGAAUUCUCAGUCCUACCACGGGUUGAGUACCGGUUCUGCCCCUUGGGAGUCUAACGUGGGCCACCGACCUUUUCGAGCCUCGGUCCCCUUGCCUGUAUAAUUAGAAAAUACCGCUACAUGAGCAUGGUGACGAUUAAAUCAGCAGAUGUGAGAAACGCUGUGCAAACUGUAAAGUGCUUUUCAAAUAUCCUUGAGUCCCGUUUUUGUCCCAGGCGUUGGGUGUUGAGUGCUACUCAAAGGAGUAAGGCCCAACCCGUUGUCUAGACUUGGCUUUGCCAGGAGGCAAAGGAAUAGUCAAGAAUUACAAGUUGCUGCGGAGAGCAUUUGCCCCCCACCCCUUCCCCCCGAACCCUGCCUGGGAAGAUUGGAGUUUUCCCACAAGGAUGGGCUGUCGUUGGGUGGUUGUCGGGGAUUUGCAGAGCAGGGGCUGUAGGUGAGAUAUCACUGGAGGGCUGGUGGGACCAUAUACCCUGUGGAUAAUAUCCUAAAGGCUGGGGCAGCCUUUGGAGGAUGGUGAAUAUGGCUGAUCUUAUUUGCCUGGAAAGAUCCCAGCGGUGGCAACAGGGAGGAGACGGAGAGCCGUGAGCGGGAACAGUCAGUGGCUGUGGCAACACAGUAGUGGUAGGGGUAGAGAAACGGGGAUAGACUUGGGAGGAUACGAGGAAAACUAGGCUCCAAAGUCUAUGAUCUUAACCACAAAUUACCCUACUUAGCCCCCUCCUUCAAAAAAGGCAGGAGAAAGUGCUUUUUUAAAAAAUCACUGUAAGUCAGGAGAGUCAUACGCCCAGAAGACAGCCCGUCGGCUUCUCCUUAGAUGCCGCCAGUGAUGCUGGGCCACGUUCUGUGACCGAGCUCUGAGGGCACCGAAAUGCUGACCUCUCUGCUGCUGUUCAUGUUUUUUGAGCCAUUUACCUGGCAAGUCCUCUGAAUGUGUGACAGCACACACAGAGUAUAAUCUGUACUGAAUCUCCUUUGACGCAAUGUCUGCUAAGACCACAGCCGUAUUUCAUGGAGUAUUUGAAGAAAAAAAGAGACUGCAGAAAGCCUCGGGAGGCGCCCGGGCCCGGCACCCAGGGAUAGCCAGCUCUCCCCUAGAGGGCGCUCCAACUCUCCCCUUCGGGUGACUGGCCGUUCAUCAGAAACUGGCUGUCAGUCCGGGAGCACAACCUACUGUGUAAUUCAGGGGCCAGGACCUUCACUUAGAACUUCCUCCAGAGACCCAGAAGUCGCCAAUAACCUACAUUUCCGAAGAAUUGUGCCCGGGACUCCUAGCCCAAGCUCCUCAUACCGUAUGUAAUCACGCAAAAGGCCACCGUAAAAUGUUCCAGUAAGUUAGUGUUCCAAAAGUUUUAGCCAGAUGACCGUACCAUUUGUACCAGCUUCCCUUUUCCUCAGAUAAGAAGUCAAGCAAAAUUCAUACCCUGAAUUAUUAGCCUGGCAAUUGUUUCUGCUGGCCCUUGGCAAGAAGGCAUUCAAUAACGCUUUCUUUUGCCAAUAUUCAGUACGUUACAGGUAUAAAAAAGAUAUCCUCUUGCAUGAACAGAUGUUUUUAAAGUCAUGUGAUUUAAAAAGAAAAUUUUUUUGUUCCAUCAAGUAAGUCUAAAGGUGUUAGGGGGUUACUAUUUAAAGAAGCCAUAAGGUGCUCUAUUCUGGAAAACAACAACAGAAUCCCACGUGGGGAUAUCUGUUUGGAUCAGUCAGCUCUCAGACCCAGUCCUCGCCCUUCCCUGCCUGCUCUGUACAGGGGAGGGAGCAACUGAUGAGGUUGGUUUUCCAGGUUCCUGGGGUUGCCGACUGGGCGCGGCCCGCAGAGAUUGGAGUGUAACAGCAAGGGAGAAACCAGGGUUAUCACCUUCUCUCUCUGCCUCCAGUGGCUUCUUCAGAGUGGCCUGGUCUCCUUCGUGCACUGGCUGACUGGGUUUCUCUCAGCUUUCACUGGAUGCCCCAUGGCUUCUGGUAACUUCGCCACCGCCUGUUGCCUCUCAGUCAAGGGUGCUGGUGGUUUCCUGUGGUUGCAGAUCUCUGGGUUCCUUCACUGUUCCCGGUUGGGCUCUCGACUCCUCCCCCUUUCUGUAAUCCGUUCCCUGCAUUAUAAACCCUGUGUUAUAAAUACUUGCACUCUCGAGAUACUUGCACUCUCUACCAAGGUUCUGAUUUUCUCAUUCUUUUGCAGAGGCCUACUGCAUGCAGCAUCGUUGGUGUGGUACGUAAUUCGGUAUGACUGUAUCCAUUGUCAAGGAGCAGUGUGGGAUAGUGACAAGAGCUGAGGCUUCCACACCAGGGAAAUCUGGGUCCAGAUGCUGCCUAAGGCAUUAGCACUCUCUGUGCCCUUGGGCUCUACAGAUGCAUCAUCAAGGUCAAGGGAGUUGCCACUUGUAACUUAGAACAACAUAGCAUUGUCGUCUGUUUAAAUCCCUCUUCAGGGAUGAUACCCUCUCAUCUAUUCAUUCUGCAAGAUUCUAGAAUCUUAGACAACAUUCUAUCAAGUAGAACCUUCUGCAUUUCAUUUUGGCCUUAUUCACUGAAAAUUAUGGAGUCCAAAGCUUUCGUUUAUACUGCUUCUAUAUAUACCUCCAGGGCAAGAAAAUGGAUGAGAAGAAUGGUUAUCUUACAGCUUUUUCAAACAGAAACUCAUUACAAUCUCAGUUAAUGAAGCAUGGAGAAAUCAAACUCAAAGCAUCAGCAUUUGCUACCUCCUAGAUGCCUGGAACUUUUCAAAGUGAAUUACAGAGCAGAUUCACACCCUUUAAAGAAUUUGUAAAUUCAGAAACGGCUGGGAGCAGGUGAGUAUUUCUGCAAAAUUUGAGAGGUGUGGAUCUAUGACCGAGGAAACAAGGACUGUGGCAUCCCCAGAAGCUUUCCUUUUGAAUCAGGAGCUGCUUUGACCAGGACUUGCGUGGUAUAGUGUUCGCCGAAGCACGGAUGGCCAAGGACCUCUAUCCUAUUAUUUACCUUUAUUACUUCCUGGUGUUGGCACUUCCGCAGAAAAUGUUGACGCGUGACAUCAAAGGCAAAGAGGAGAUCCGCAAUCCCUAGUUCCUUCCCUGCUCCUCCUAAGCUGAGGGAAGCGAGCGUGGGGAAAACGUGCAAAUAUCAAGGAGCAAAAUCAAAACAGCCAAGUUCAUUUGGGGCUGCUUACGUGAUUCAAAGCGCGGUGAACAUCCGCGGCGAGGUCUUGCCGAAUUACUUCUAUGAGAAGGCACGAUGCAGUAGCUGGGAGCUGGGGUUCUGGUGCUAGACCCCAGCGUGGCCAACUUGUAUCCUUGGGCUCGGCCGGCUUCAGGACACAGCACAGGAGCGGAAUGCUGAACCAGGGCUUAUGGCAUAUGAAUUGCAACAUUUCCAUAUUUUUCCUGCACAAACAGCUGGGACCAGAUUGUAUACACAUUUCAGGAUCAACAAGAGUGUUUGUAGACUAUUGAAAGGUGGAUUUAUAUAUAAGACUUCUUUCCCAUUGAAGACAUCAGAUUGGAGUCUUCUGAUGAAGACAUCAGAUUUGAACUGAUAGCGCAGAGCCUGACAUGGGGCUCGAACUAACGGACCGCAAGAUCAUGACCUGAGCCGAAGUCAGAUGCCCAACCUACUGAGCCACUCAGGUGCCCCGACCUCCCUACCUUUUAAAGAUGAAAGAGAGGUAUAAUUACCCCUAAACCUUUCUACAAGCCCCCUCAUCCCUAUGCAAUUUACUUUUCAUGUCUUGCUGUAUCCCACUUAUUUAUUUUUUAUUUAUUUAUUUGUUUAUUUAUUUUGAGGGACAGAG